UCCUGACUGACCGAUAGUGAACCAGUACCGUGAGGGAAAGGCGAAAAGAACCCCGGCGAGGGGAGUGAAAAAGAACCUGAAACCGUGUACGUACAAGCAGUGGGAGCACAGAGCAAUCUGUGUGACUGCGUACCUUUUGUAUAAUGGGUCAGCGACUUAUAUUCUGUAGCAAGGUUAACCGAAUAGGGGAGCCGAAGGGAAACCGAGUCUUAACUGGGCGUUAAGUUGCAGGGUAUAGACCCGAAACCCGGUGAUCUAGCCAUGGGCAGGUUGAAGGUUGGGUAACACUAACUGGAGGACCGAACCGACUAAUGUUGAAAAAUUAGCGGAUGACUUGUGGCUGGGGGUGAAAGGCCAAUCAAACCGGGAGAUAGCUGGUUCUCCCCGAAAGCUAUUUAGGUAGCGCCUCGUGAAUUCAUCUCCGGGGGUAGAGCACUGUUUCGGCAAGGGGGUCAUCCCGACUUACCAACCCGAUGCAAACUGCGAAUACCGGAGAAUGUUAUCACGGGAGACACACGGCGGGUGCUAACGUCCGUCGUGAAGAGGGAAACAACCCAGACCGCCAGCUAAGGUCCCAAAGUCAUGGUUAAGUGGGAAACGAUGUGGGAAGGCCCAGACAGCCAGGAUGUUGGCUUAGAAGCAGCCAUCAUUUAAAGAAAGCGUAAUAGCUCACUGGUCGAGUCGGCCUGCGCGGAAGAUGUAACGGGGCUAAACCAUGCACCGAAGCUGCGGCAGCGACGCUUAUGCGUUGUUGGGUA
RNAcentral lists this ribosomal RNA (758 nucleotides) under Escherichia coli. Its description in RNAcentral is "partial 23S ribosomal RNA". It matches the Rfam family "Bacterial large subunit ribosomal RNA", at positions 474 to 1230 of the family's 2925-position model. The record is from RNAcentral. Lineage: Bacteria; Pseudomonadati; Pseudomonadota; Gammaproteobacteria; Enterobacterales; Enterobacteriaceae.